CACAGAACAGUUCUGUCAUCCAGACCAAGCAGGAAGGACCAAAGUGUUCAACAUGUCCAAAGAACUAGAAUCUUACAAGUUAGGUAAUAUUUCAAUCGACUUGGAUAAAACGAAGAAGGUGUCAACACCUGACGGCACUCAAAGAUAUAGCCACUCUGCUGUAGCCAUUGAGAUGCCUGCAACCAAUAUGACAACAGCACUUGUUGUGGGCGUCGCUGGUGUUUGCUUCGGUGCAUUGGCUGCCAAUUCCAUGAAGUCCAGUCAGUCGAAACAUCAAUGAAGGGAAUAUUCCUCAUCCUCAACCCCAUCUAUUCACCAUCCAAUAAUAAUAUAAACAUUAUUAUAAGAAGGGAGAGCUUUUACCAUAGCAGCAACAUACAUUCAUUAUUACACAAUCAAAAGAAAAUCAAUUUUUGGCCUGCUAUCUUGAUUCUUUAUUGAAUGAGUUUUGAUUAGAACAUGUUUAGGCUACAAUCUGUUAUUAUUCACCGUUGAUUGAUUUUGAAAUAUUCCUACAUGUUUAAUAAUUAGGUGUAAAAUGUGGUAUUUUUCUCCUAUCUUUAACUUUUGCUCUUAUUCAAUUGAAAGCCAUCUGAAUGAAUUGUAUAUGUUCUUGGCUGAAAAUGAAUCACAUGGAUGAAUCAAUUAAUCGCUAAAAUAACCAAUAGAUAAGUCGCCUGAUAAAUAAUUGUUUGUGGCACCCUGUACAUUUUUGUCUAUUUGCUAUGCUUUGCUGUGUAAUAUACAAUAAAAAUCUA
This is a long non-coding RNA of Gadus chalcogrammus (walleye pollock), 758 nucleotides long. RefSeq lists it as uncharacterized. The transcript has 3 exons. NCBI's taxonomy places the organism in Eukaryota, Metazoa, Chordata, Actinopteri, Gadiformes, Gadidae. The record is from RefSeq and is a predicted model, not a curated record.